RNAcentral lists this ribosomal RNA (532 nucleotides) under bacterium Pu.S15. RNAcentral's name for it is "bacterial SSU rRNA". It matches the Rfam family "Bacterial small subunit ribosomal RNA", at positions 131 to 658 of the family's 1533-position model. The record is from RNAcentral.
CGAUGGAGGGGGAUAACUACUGGAAUNGGUAGCUAAUACCGCAUAAUGUCGCAAGACCAAAGAGGGGGACCUUCGGGCCUCUUGCCAUCGGAUGUGCCCAGAUGGGAUUAGCUUGUUGGUGAGGUAACGGCUCACCAAGGCGACGAUCCCUAGCUGGUCUGAGAGGAUGACCAGCCACACUGGAACUGAGACACGGUCCAGACUCCUACGGGAGGCAGCAGNGGGGAAUAUUGCACAAUGGGCGCAAGCCUGAUGCAGCCAUGCCGCGUGUAUGAAGAAGGCCUUCGGGUUGUAAAGUACUUUCAGCGGGGAGGAAGGGGUUAAGGUUAAUAACCUUAGCCAUUGACGUUACCCGCAGAAGAAGCACCGGCUAACUCCGUGCCAGCAGCCGCGGUAAUACGGAGGGUGCAAGCGUUAAUCGGAAUUACUGGGCGUAAAGCGCACGCAGGCGGUCUGUCAAGUCGGAUGUGAAAUCCCCGGGCUCAACCUGGGAACUGCAUUCGAAACUGGCAGGCUUGAGUCUCGUAGAGGG